Molecule: non-coding RNA, 2058 nt
Organism: Manis javanica (Malayan pangolin)
Lineage: Eukaryota; Metazoa; Chordata; Mammalia; Pholidota; Manidae
Source: RefSeq, a predicted model, not a curated record
CGUGGCGGGCGGAGGGCCCGAAGGCUGGCUGUCGAACGGCGGACCGCAAGACAGAAGCCGCGGUGCGUGUGCAGGGAAAGCGUGAGCCCGAACACACACCUAACACCACAGCGGCGGCCGAAUCCAGCCACACAAUGAACCCACUGGCUGCUCUUAAAGAAAAACCCAAAUAGCAGCUACUGCAGAAGAGGAAACAGUCUCAUGUCAUGAUAUGAAGGGAGGGUUGGACCAUCAGCAUUCUGUGGAGUCUUGCUGAUGUAUGGAAAAGCCAACGCCCAUCUAUUGAUAUUUUGGAAGAGCAACUCAAAGGAGAAAUGAUGUAUGUAUAGUAUGGGAGCUCAUUUCUUUAGACACCUACAAUUGUGGCGAAUAAAGAUCACUCCACUGCUAAUUCUAAAUUGUGGAGGUAACUGCAGGGGUCUGUCAGCAUGAGAGGGAGGGUUUCCUCAAUCUGAUCCAGAAGAAAGUUAAUAACUUCAAAUCCAUAACUACCUAGAUUAUUACGACUGGUCUAGAAUGCACAAUUGUAGUUUUUUUCAAUCCAAUGGAUAUUCUUACAUAUGUUAGCUUGAAACCAAAAGAAUUUCCCAAGCAUGUGAUUGGAAGGAGGUGUAAACUGGAUUCUGAUAGGUUUUGCUGUCUUAUAUCUGAAAACUUUAGCAUUCCAGAAACUCAUCUUGAAUGGAUUUUGGGAGAAAAUGGCAACUCAAGUAUGUUUACAUGGAGUGGAGUGAAUGCAGCAGGGGUCACUCCAGAAAUGGAAUUCAGAAAUGGAAAUUGUCAGGGCUGACAGUUUGAAAGAAAUGUGAACCAUAUGAUUGAAAGAGCAUUUGAGGUGAUCAAACUAAAAGUGUCUUCCAACUGGGCUACUGAAUCAAAUGUUGCUAAGCCAAUUCAAACCCUUUUUGAAAGACGUCUGCUCAGGAUUGAUCUUCACAGGAUUUCCCAAUCUCAGCAAUGCUGACAUUUAGGGCCAGAUAAUUCUCUGUUGUGGGGGCAUCCUGUGCAUGUAGGAUGUUUAGCAAUGUCCCUGGCUGGCAUCUACCUACUCGUUUUCAGUAGCUCUUCCCCUCUCCUAGUGUGACAACCAAAAUGUCUUCAGAUGUUGAGAAAUGUCUGCCAAGGCACAUAAUUGCCCCUUGAUGUGUUGUUUCUGACAGUGAGGGCUUUCUUUGUGUUCUAAGUGUUCAAAGAUUAACCAGAGUCUUCAACCAGAGUAGAAGGAUAAUGUAGUUUUACCACUCAAAAGAGUGGGGAUAGAUGAAACAACUUAAGAAAACAGCUGGUACUGUCUGAACAAUAUGAUGAGUAAAUGUGGUUAUGGAGCCACCAGAAUUCUCAUACAUCAUCAGUGAGAGUGUAAAUAGGUGCAGUCACUUUGGAAAAAGGUAUGGUAGUGUCUCCAAGAGCUAUCUACUGGAGAUGAAAGCUAGUAUCUGCUCCUAUGACCUCGCAAUUCCAUAAGGACGUGCGUACAUAUGCUCCCCGUAAGGAAUGUUCUGGAAAUUCAUAGUGUUAUGUGUAGUGGCCCUCAAACUGGGAACCACUUAGAUGCAUAUCAACGAGAGAGUGGACAAUUUAAUUGUGGUUUAUUCAUACUGCACAUUACUAUACAGCAAUGAAAAUGAUCUACAAUAAUACACAGCAAAAUCAAUGGAUCUCACAAUGUUGUAACCAUCUAAGCAAGACAGAGAAAUCCAUACUGUAUGAUUACCUGUGUGUAAAACUGACAAACAACUAAUCUAUGGUGUUAGAAGUCACUUUUGGGAGGGGUGGUGACCAGAAGGGGGCUUCUGGGGUUCUGGUCAUGUUUUGUGUCUUGAGCUUAGUGCUGGUUAUGCAUGUGUGCUGUGUGAGAAUUCACUGAACUGUACAUUUAUGAUUUAGGCAUUUGCUGUAUAUAUGUUGUAUUUCAAUGGGAAAUUUAAAAAAAAAUUCUCAAAAAAAGUAUAACCUACUUGACCUAGAUAGAGUCCUCUGGGUCACGCUGGGGACUAAAGCUGUACUGAGACUUGAUUAAUAGUCUUUGCUCAUAAAUGUCAGUUUGUUUGAAUCAGU